This 461-nucleotide ribosomal RNA is filed under the name uncultured bacterium. Its description in RNAcentral is "SSU rRNA". It matches the Rfam family "Bacterial small subunit ribosomal RNA", at positions 26 to 523 of the family's 1533-position model. The record is from RNAcentral.
AGAGCGAACGCUGGCGGCAUGCUUAACACAUGCAAGUCGCACGGUCAGCAAUGGCAGUGGCGGACGGGUGAGUAACGCGUAGGAAUCUAUCCAGAGGUGGGGGACAACAGUGGGAAACUACUGCUAAUACCGCAUGUUACCUGAGGGUUAAAGGUUGAUCGCAAGAUGGAUCGCCUUUGGAGGAGCCUGCGUCUGAUUAGCUUGUUGGUGGGGUAAAGGCCUACCAAGGCGACGAUCAGUAGCUGGUCUGAGAGGAUGAUCAGCCACAUUGGGACUGAGACACGGCCCAAACUCCUACGGGAGGCAGCAGUGGGGAAUAUUGGACAAUGGGCGCAAGCCUGAUCCAGCAAUGCCGCGUGUGUGAAGAAGGUCUUCGGAUUGUAAAGCACUUUUGGCAGGGACGAUGAUGACGGUACCUGCAGAAUAAGCCCCGGCUAACUUCGUGCCAGCAGCCGCGGUAA